GAGGGUAUAGCUCAGUGGUAGAGUAUGUGCUUAGCAUGCAUGAGGUCCUAGGCUCAAUCCCCAGUGCCUCCA
Molecule: transfer RNA, 72 nt
Filed under: Camelus bactrianus (Bactrian camel)
Lineage: Eukaryota; Metazoa; Chordata; Mammalia; Artiodactyla; Camelidae
Also listed under: 1 other name
Rfam family: tRNA
About the family: Transfer RNA (tRNA) molecules are approximately 80 nucleotides in length. Their secondary structure includes four short double-helical elements and three loops (D, anti-codon, and T loops).
Source: Rfam by way of RNAcentral